This 49-nucleotide ribosomal RNA is filed under the name Tuber shidianense. Its description in RNAcentral is "partial 28S ribosomal RNA". Lineage: Eukaryota; Fungi; Ascomycota; Pezizomycetes; Pezizales; Tuberaceae. The record is from RNAcentral.
UGACCUCGGAUCAGGUAGGGAUACCCGCUGAACUUAAGCAUAUCAAGCG